Non-coding RNA from Eptesicus fuscus (big brown bat), 79 nucleotides. NCBI's taxonomy places the organism in Eukaryota, Metazoa, Chordata, Mammalia, Chiroptera, Vespertilionidae. The record is from RefSeq and is marked provisional.
GUGUCAGUGUUGGAGAAGCCUCCAGGCCUGGCAGACAGAGCACACUGCAGGGCAUUGGGGCUUCCUUCGCAUGGCACAU